CCCUUAGAUGUUCUGGGCUGCACGCAUGCUACACUGAUAUUGCCAAUAUGUCAUUCUUAUCCGAAAUGGAUUGGGUAAUCAAGUAAUGAAAUUUCAUGCUUGGAAUCGGUAAUUGCAAUUUUAUCGUGAACGAGGAAUUCCUAGUAAGCACUAGUCAUCAGCUAAUGUUGAUUAUGUCCCUGCCCUUUGUACACACCGCCCGUCGCUACUACUGAUUGGGUGUUCAAGUGAGGUGCUUAGACCCUUGUUGCAUGGUUCAUUAUUGUGCUCCGAAAGGAAAAAGUUUCAAGCUUGAGUGUCUAGAGGAAGUAAAAGUCGUAACA
RNAcentral lists this ribosomal RNA (323 nucleotides) under uncultured eukaryote. Its description in RNAcentral is "partial 18S ribosomal RNA". It matches the Rfam family "Eukaryotic small subunit ribosomal RNA", at positions 1470 to 1796 of the family's 1831-position model. The record is from RNAcentral.